Molecule: ribosomal RNA, 377 nt
Filed under: Nitrospirota bacterium
Lineage: Bacteria; Pseudomonadati; Nitrospirota
Description: Nitrospirae bacterium partial 23S ribosomal RNA
Rfam family: Bacterial large subunit ribosomal RNA
Source: RNAcentral
GCUGAAGCUGGUCCCAAGGGUCGGGCUGUUCGCCCGUUAAAGCGGUACGAGAGUUGGGUUCAGAACGUCGUGAGACAGUUCGGUCCCUAUCUGUUGUGGGCGGAGGAGAUUUGAGAGGGUCUGUCUCUAGUACGAGAGGAUUGAGAUGGACGGACCUCUAGUGUGCCGGUUGUCACGCCAGUGGCAGUGCCGGGUAGCUAUGUCCGGUAUGGAUAACCGCUGAAAGCAUCUAAGCGGGAAGCCUGCCUCAAGAUAAGAUCUCCCGGAGGGUAACCUCCCUAAAGGCCACUUAAAGACUAUGAGUUUGAUAGGCUGGGUGUGGAAGGGCUGUGAGGCCUGAAGCUUACCAGUACUAAUCGGCCGUGAGGCUUAACAUU